Molecule: transfer RNA, 85 nt
Filed under: Felis catus (domestic cat)
Lineage: Eukaryota; Metazoa; Chordata; Mammalia; Carnivora; Felidae
Also listed under: 3 other names
Rfam family: tRNA
About the family: Transfer RNA (tRNA) molecules are approximately 80 nucleotides in length. Their secondary structure includes four short double-helical elements and three loops (D, anti-codon, and T loops). Further hydrogen bonds mediate the characteristic L-shaped molecular structure. tRNAs have two regions of fundamental functional importance: the anti-codon, which is responsible for specific mRNA codon recognition, and the 3' end, to which the tRNAs corresponding amino acid is attached (by aminoacyl-tRNA synthetases). tRNAs cope with the degeneracy of the genetic code in two manners: having more than one tRNA (with a specific anti-codon) for a particular amino acid; and 'wobble' base-pairing, i.e. permitting non-standard base-pairing at the 3rd anti-codon position.
Source: Rfam by way of RNAcentral
GCCUGGGUGGCUCAGUGGGUUAAGCGUCUGACUUCAGCUCAGGUCAUGAUCUUGGGGUUCAUGAGUUCGAGCCCCAUGUCAGGCU